UACGGAGGGUGCAAACGUUGCUCGGAAUCAUUGGGCGUAAAGCGCACGUAGGCGGUCGGCUAUGUCGGAUGUGAAAGCCUCGGGCUUAACCCGAGAAGGGCAUCCGAAACUGGCUGGCUUAAGUAUGGAAGAGGGUCUCGGAAUUCCCGGUGUAGAGGUGAAAUUCGUAGAUAUUCGGAGGAACACCAGUGGCGAAGGCGGCUCACUGGUCCAUUACUGACGCUGAGGUGCGAAAGCGUGGGGAGCAAACAGG
This 253-nucleotide ribosomal RNA is filed under the name uncultured bacterium. RNAcentral describes it as "partial 16S ribosomal RNA". It matches the Rfam family "Bacterial small subunit ribosomal RNA", at positions 524 to 776 of the family's 1533-position model. The record is from RNAcentral.